Molecule: small RNA, 363 nt
Filed under: Fictibacillus macauensis ZFHKF-1
Lineage: Bacteria; Bacillati; Bacillota; Bacilli; Caryophanales; Fictibacillaceae
Description: cspA thermoregulator
Rfam family: cspA thermoregulator
Source: Rfam by way of RNAcentral
GUUUGACCAUAACGUGUUCACAUGACUGGAUGUAAACAUAUAGUUUUCUUUUAGUUUGUUAGCAUUGUAACAUGGUUCCAAUUUUUUAAAGCGCUUUAAUUGCGCUGACAGGAGGAUAUACCCAUGCAAAACGGGAAAGUAAAAUGGUUUAACGCAGAAAAAGGUUUCGGUUUUAUCGAAGUAGAGGGUGGAGACGAUGUAUUCGUACACUUUUCUGCUAUCCAAUCUGAAGGUUUCAAAUCUUUAGAUGAAGGUCAAGAAGUAUCUUUCGAAAUCGUUGAAGGUGCUCGUGGACCUCAAGCUGCUAACGUUGAAAAACUAUAAUAGCGCUAUAAAAGGGCCGAUGUAAUCGGCUCUUUUUUU